This 377-nucleotide unclassified non-coding RNA is filed under the name uncultured Promicromonosporaceae bacterium. Its description in RNAcentral is "contains 16S-23S intergenic spacer region". Lineage: Bacteria; Bacillati; Actinomycetota; Actinomycetes; Micrococcales; Promicromonosporaceae. The record is from RNAcentral.
UCCGAGUUGACCCCGGCAGUCUCCCAUGAGUCCCCGGCAUAACCCGCUGGCAACAUGGGACAAGGGUUGCGCUCGUUGCGGGACUUAACCCAACAUCUCACGACACGAGCUGACGACAACCAUGCACCACCUGUGCACCGACCUUACGGGGCACCUAUCUCUAGGUGUUUCCGGUGCAUGUCAAGCCUUGGUAAGGUUCUUCGCGUUGCAUCGAAUUAAUCCGCAUGCUCCGCCGCUUGUGCGGGCCCCCGUCAAUUCCUUUGAGUUUUAGCCUUGCGGCCGUACUCCCCAGGCGGGGCACUUAAUGCGUUAGCUGCGGCACGGAACUCGUGGAAUGAGCCCCACACCUAGUGCCCAACGUUUACGGCAUGGACUAC